GUGUUAAAUUUUUAAGUAGUCAAAGUCAGGAGCCCGUCUGGAGAAUGGAAGUGUUAAAUUUUUAAGUAGGUGAAGUCAGGAGCCCGCCUGGAUAAUAGAGGAGUACUUUCAAGUUCAAGUUCAGCAAUCAGGAGCUCGCCUGGAUAACAGAGGAAUACAUUCGAGUUCAAGAUUACUCAAGUUCAGCAGUUGGAGAGAGGGAAUAACAUCUCAGUUAACCAGGUGAAAUAGCAACAAGGAAUUUUAUCGAGAAAACACAAGACAAUGAGGCAACAAGACAACACAAGACAACAAGGCAACAAGGAAGUACAAGAGCAAGUUUGAAGAAUCUAGAUAGGACUUUUUUAAUUCAUAGUUCAUAGCUUAGUCUAACUUCUUUUAUUUUUACACAGUGUAAUAAGGGAAGUCAGCAAGCAGCAGCAACAGCAAUCGCAGUGAAAUCACAGCUCCUAGUAAUCCCAGCUACCAGACAUUCCCGAACUACACUGACCUGAUAACUGUUUAGCCCAGGAUAUGUAGGCAACCUCUGAAGCAGGGUGCGGUCGAGCUUUUAAAAAAAUGUUUCACACGGAAUUUCCAAACGGGCAAAAAUCGCUCGUAUUUGCUCACUUAUCUUUGCCCGAAAACAUUUCAUGUUUUCAAGCAAAGAGGGGAAGUUGUGAGCACGUGAGUUUUGCCCUAUACAUGAAUAAUUCCCAAAAAAUUCCAACAAAAUAAUUUUUCUUUAUUUUUACAAUUUUUCGUGCACUUUGAUGUCAUUUUCUGAUAAUGGUUGCAUUUUAUGUUUGCAUGCUAAUUCAUAAAAAAUACAAAAAAUACGCAUUUGCAUUUAGGAUUCAACUCCACAUUUUAGGAUCAAAUAGAAAAUUAGUUAUUUUAUACAAAAAAUGAAAUGAGAAAAAUCGCAAAAUAGUUUAUUUUUUGCACUUUUAAAUUUAAUUUCAAAUUCUGGCGGUUUUUCUUUAAUUAGUUGUGGUAAUUAUUAUUUCAAAUAGUUAAUUUAAUUUGGUGGGUCAAUUUAAUUAGAGAUUAAGUUAGGUUUGUUUUUAUUUUAUUUCAAUUUAGCAAAGUCUGAAAAAUAAAAGAAAAGAAAAAAGAGAAAGGAGCAUGAAGGGAAAUUGGUCUUUGGACCACCUUAAUUCAAGAGCUCCCUAGCCCAAUGCUCAACUCACCAUCCCCCUGGCCCAAACGUUUCCCCUUCCCAAACCCGCCUAAACCCGGCCUACACCCGCCUGACCCGACCCGUCCAUAUACACACGGAAACCCAAUCAGUCGAUCAAACCCCCCCAGACCCCUAAUCCCAGCCGCGACUGUUCUUCUUCUCCCAAAGAACAUCUGAAUCCAACCCUAAUCCUGUCUAAAUCCAUGGUGAGUGAGCCUCAAAUCCACAACCCACGCGUUCCCUCAUCCCUUCUCUCAUCGUUCUAACGGAUUUUCCCAUGCGAGAUUCCCUUCCCCUCUCACUCGCCCGAUUUUGAUCCAUCUCACGCGAUUGGAACGUCCUAGAGAUGAUUCGUUGGAUGAAUGUGAGGCUUUGGAUUGAUUUCGUUCAAUCCGAGCCCCACAUUCAUCCGGGGUUCGUUUCAUAAAAGGACUCAACCCGAUUUUUUAAGGGGGAGGAUUUUUCGGAGAAGAUAUGAAAUUUUGAAAAUCGUCUUACUUCUUCUUCUAUACUGAAAUUGGAGUUGAGUUCGAGAAUAAGAAAAGAGAUAUAUAAAUAUGUUCAUGGUUCUUUGAUAUUUUUUUUGGUUUUCAAUUACUUUCCAAAACAAAAAAUCAAAAGAUAUAUUCCAUCCUUUCCUUUUGGGUUGGAGGUGGUUUGAAAAUGGUGCUCGAUUGAGAGUCGCUGAGUUUGUUGUUGUCCGAGUUUUGAUUUCUAAACGAUUCUGUUGAUGGUUGUGCUGAUAUUAGCUAUUGUAUUUCAUUUGUACGCAAUGUUCGAGCACAGUUGAUCGGAAGUAUUUAUUGAUUAGGGGUUCAUUUCUUCUUUAUUUAUAUUUUUCUUCUGUGAUUCUGUGUUGUGCGCUCAUGUUCUGUUAUGUUUUCGAUCUAAGACUGCUUGAAAGUUAGUGUUUGGUUGUUUGAAUUAAAAGCUGAGUCAUGUUGGCCUUGGUUCAGGUCUGUUUCUGGUUGUUCUUGGUGUGUGUUUAUUCUGUAUUGGGCGAGCGAUUGUAUGCAUUGGUAUGAAGGUUGCAGCUGUAUGAAGUCAUCCCAUUCGUUUGUUAAAUUUAAGCACGGAAACAGAUUCAUGAACCUUAAGGGUUGAAGCUUUCUUAUUCGACCAUUUCUGUCGGUUUAGUUGAGUUAUAGACUAUUCGGCUAUAUGUUUUGUUUGAGAAGAGGUAUUAGUUUUCUGUGUGCAAAUGUGAAUCCGUUGCGCUUGCUAGAUUUUUACAUGAAUGGACAAGCUUUUGAUCCACUCUAUGGUUGUUAGAUGAGAUGUAUUUGUUGUUUGUCGAUUCAUUGAGUCACAGAAUUUCUCACCCGUCCCGAGUGCAAUAUUAGCUUAUGAAAUUGACACUGGUCAUCUUUUGUUGUUGUUGUGUUACUCAGUCAAUGGUAUUUACCAAGACAUGCUACGAAUGCUCGAAGAUAAGCGAUUCAAUGCUUGUUCUAAAGCAGUAGUUGGUCUAAACUUUGGCUAUCCAAGUACAAUUGAUUUAAAUUCCAGCAAUAGCUUCUUGAGGUUUGGUUCAUUCCUGUUGUGUUUGGCUUAGCUUUGCGUUGGUCUAAAGGGGUCGAAGCUCCAUUGUGUCGCUGUUUGUAUAUGCUCAGAUUUGCGCUAUUUGUCUUCUCCUACUGGAAAUCUAUCUGUAUUAUUACAGCUAUAAGAACUUUGUUCUUUCGCACUGCCAAAAACAGUUGAUUCAAGCGAUGAAUCAUGCUGAAAUAUGCAGUAUUGUGGGAUAUCUGUUUGGAUUGUUAGCCUGCAGAAAAUCUGCCUUUGUUUCAUUUUUGUGACUCUCCUUCAAACGUCGCUGUUAUUUUUCUUGUGUGUUCCUCCUUUCAAGGAUCGGCAGGCAGUCAUGAUUCACUCAAGAGUUUCAUAUGAUAUUUGAAAAUGCCUACUUGUUUAUCAUUUCCUUUUCAAAGUAAAUCUGACUUCUUGUUGAAAAAAUGCAUUAGUGUACUGUCCACUUGCUUCAGGAUACAAGGAAAGUAUCAGUGGUAGUGUUUUUUUGAAACACAAAGAGCCUUCAGUUCAUUUUGCAAUAUUGAUUGAUAAGUGAGUACAUUUGGUUUAUGGGAAGCUUUGGAAUGGUCUUGUAAAGGUUUAUUUCUCACACUACUUCUUGGUUGAGAUAUGAUUCAUGAACAUAUGAGUUUAUUUCUUAUCUUGAGUUUAUUUCUUAUCUUGAGUUUAUUUCAAACAUAGGCCUGAAACGAUUCUCGUUGUUACUUGUUAUGGCUCAUUCGAUUUGGUUAAGCUUGUUUGUCCAGUUUGGGCCAAUCUCAGGCCCAAUGACUAUGUUUAUUAGAAAUUCUACCCAUGUACAAAUAUUGAAGCUUGGGCCCUCUUGGUUUCCUGACUAAUACGUCUGGCCCAUAUUUUAGUUAAUUAAGUUUUCUUUUGUUUAUUUUUAGAGAAAAAUAAGUAGAAAAAAAUAUAGUUGCUUCUAAGUUUGCCCUUAAAAUAAAAUGAGACGAGCCUCGCCCAAUAAACACAAAAUUGCGGGGCCCUCAAUAAUGGCUAUAAAAUAAUUAGAAUUUGGGAGGGCCGUUUAGAGAAUUUCAUGGUCGUCCCUAAAAAUAAUGUUACGUUAGAACCCUUAGGCGCGACUUAACUAAAUUACUUCCUUAAACUUGGGUGCGCAUUGAUGCGACCCAAAUCCAAAUCUCGACGAAGUCGAAAUGUGUCGACAACCACGGGUGCAUUGAUUGCAACGUGGUUCGAAACGCGUUGUCACGACGUCGCAAUUCUUUUAAAAUAAAUAAUGAUAAAAAGCGGUUUACGAAUAAAUGACACAUAAGCUAGCAUGUGUUAAAAUCAAAUAAAAUCAAAUGCAGCAGUUAAGCGACCGUGCUAGAACCACGGAACCCAAGAGUGCCUAACACAUUCUUCCGGGUUAACAAAAUUCCUUACUCGAAUUUCUGGUUCGUAGACUGUAACAGGUUUAUAUUUUUCCUCGGUUCGGGAUUCAACCGGAGACUUGGGACACCAUUAAUCUCCCAAGUGGCGACUCUGAAUAAUUAAUAAUUAAAUCAUGUUCCGAUUGUCCUUUAAAUGGAAAAACUCAUUUGCGCCCUUACCGGUGUAGGUAAAAAGGAGGUGUGACAUAUAUAUAUAUAUGCAUAUGUAAUCAUAUCCAGAUGUUUUAUUAUUUUUCCGUAAUUUUUAAAGGGUUUCAAAUCAAUUUAUUUCCCUCUUUUAUCUAUAAAAAAUCCAAUAAUUAUUUCCAAAAUUAUUAUUUUGGUAAUUCAUCUGUUGGACUUUUAUAUUUAUGCUAAAAUAUAGCUAAGGUAAUUUUUGCACAUUUACAAAAUUUAUUUAGUAUUCUUAAGCUAAAUUGCAUAUAAUUGCAAUAUUAGCCCUUUUAACAUUCAAUGGUAUUUUAUAUUCAUAAAAUUAAGUCCAGUAUUUUUAAAUUGAUAAUUAUAUGUUAUAAAUAAUUUUAGUGCUUUCAAUUUAUUUCCAGAAAUUAAUUUACUAUUUUUUAUUUUUAAAAGGGGAAAAUUGGCUAUUUAAAUAAUAGCCUAAUUACACUUCAACUUUUGCCUAAAUCUGACCCCAAAUUAAACCCAAUUUUCCUGGCCCAAUUCCAUUUCAAACUCGACCCCUAACCCAAUUAAAUGACCCAACCCGGAUUCCCCUACCUACCCUUUUGAAUCCAGGCCGUUGAUCAUUCAGAUCAACAACCAUGAUUCGCCCUUCCAUAAUUAAACCUAAAAAACCCUUAAACCUACCUCAUUUUUUCACCAAUCGUCGCCUCUAGAUCCCUUCCCUCUCAACUCUCUCUGCAAUCCCUCAUGAACCCUAGCCGCCGCCAUCUAAUUUCACCCUAAUCCACCUUAACCCCUGCCUAAUCCAUGGCCUCUCAUGGCCAUUGGAGAUGUGUAUCAGCCUCCUAUGGCUCCUGGGUGUUUGUUUUUGUGGUUUCAUGGCCAGACCUCGAAGGGAUCUGGUCCAGUCCUCGCUCGACUUCUGUUCAUGGCCUUUCUCCGGCCAUACGUGACCUUUCAAGGUAGAUCCUUGACUUUAUUGGUUAGAUCGGUAACUUUCAAGGUCUUUCUUAAUUUUUCUGGGUUUUUCGAAACCCUAAUCUUUAAGAUCUUUCAACUAUCUUUCAGAUCUACUUUGGAUCUGUACUUGCUAUAAAUUUCUUAAGUGUUUUCUCGAAGGUUCUUCAACUUUUCUUUCAAAAUGGCUCUUCAUUUUCUCCGAUUAGGGUUUCUCUUAACCUCUCUUUUAAAAAAUCCCUUCUCUGAUUCUUGAUGUUGUUUUAUGAUUUUACUAUGUUCAAAAUACUUGUUAUGCUUUCUUUCUACUUGAAUCAGCAUAUUAAAACCCUAGUUCCCUUUUGUCUCAUCCGAGUUCUAAAACUGCAUGUUUAAAUGUGUACUUGUUCGAUUAAGUUCUUCGUUCUUGUUUGACUUAUUUGAUUCUGAGUUUUACCAUCUUUACUCAAUUAUUGUGGAAAACCCUAGGUCUUUUGGUCUGAAACUGCUUGUUUGAAUGUAUACUUGACUCGAUUAAAGGUUCCUUGUUUCAGACUCUCUUUUCUUUAUGUGACUUAUCUGAUUCUGACUUUUACUAUCGUUUUAACUCGACUAUUGUUGAAACCCUAAUUUCUCAAAAGGUUUCCACACUUGUUCCUGUGAGACCUUUACUUAUUUUUUAACUCUCUUCUUCACUUUGGCUAUACGUGUGAGCCCUGACUGACUAACUUUGUUCACUACUGAAUCCUAUGCUUAUUUUUGCCACUACUGUAUAUUUGUGCUAUCUCUUUUGCCAAUAUGUUUGGCCUCGCAUGUCUGAUGUUCCUGUUGCUCUAUUUAUAUGCUGAAGUUUCUUCACUCGCCUGUUUAAAACUAAUUGAUUCCUUUCCCUUUACUGUGAUGUUUUACCUUGCUGAAUCCUUUCCCAAAAUAAGCAUAUUUUGUACUUAGACUUGAUUGUUUGUUUCAUGCUUUUACUGCCCUUUUUAUGGCAAUAAUCAAUCUGUCCCCAAACUGAUUUUCUUUCCUUAAUUAGACCUGCUGCUACCAGUUAAACAAUGAUCCCUUAAUUAAAGGAAUCACUUGUGUUAAUUGAUUCUGACUUGUGAUUGUUUCCAUGUUUGUGUUAAGACUUUACCUAUUACCUUACUUUUCACUCGUUUUCAAAAACUAUAAAUACCCUACACCCCUCUUCUUUAAAACACACGAACAAUUGAGUUCAAGAACACACACUUACACUCAAAACUUUUUCUCUUUUCUCUACUACUACGUGUGCUACUACUUUGUCUAGCCAGCUGAAAGCCAAGGCUAGACUGUGGAAUUUUUGCCUACUUUUUCUUUCUACACUUUGUUUCUCUACUAGUAUGUCCUAGUUAAUCUUCAAGCAUCAACAACAUGUUUCUUUAGCUGUUUCAAUUUCCUUCACCCUUGCCUGCUUCUGCUUAUGUUUAUGCAAUCGAGUUAUAUUACUAAGCAUGUUGUAAUCUGCUCCCUCUCCUUCUAAAUUAAUGUUUUCCCUUAGGUAUGCACUUUAUCAGUCACUUGUUGUGUGAUUUGCUGACUUAUGAAUCCCAAACCCCCAUAUCCCCUCAUGUGUUUGUGUUCUCUGGCUGGUUUAUGGGCAUACCGGCAUCAUCUAUUGUUGUACAUGACCAAACCUGACCCUUUCUAGGGUUAUAUGCUUCGUGCAAUGUAAUCCCAAAACCCCUGAGCCUUUUGUGUAACUGCUGAUUCUAUGUAGUUUGAGUUUUACUACUACUGUUUUCAAAUCACCCUUACCCGCUUACUAUUCUCAAUCCAGUUUUAAAUAAAUCUUUGUGUUCUGCACUUCCACUAUAUUCUUAGAACCUAGGUUCUGCCCCUCUUGUGUGAGCCUUGCCUUGGGACCCUUGAGCUCCCUCUGAACUUGGACACAUAAGGGCUGGCCCUUCCACACUUCCCUCAUCUCUAUCUGGUUAUGCAAACCUGGGUGUAAGCACUACUCGGAGUCCCUUGAGACCCUUAGGGAACUUUGACAUACCCAGGUCUAAAAAAGGCUUUUAAACAAGUGGCAUUUGAGGUGAUUUAUUCCAUAACUCAGAAAGGAAGUCAGAAUCAGGCUUCCUAUGAUUGUAAAUUCUUAUUUUACACCUUUUUUAUGUAAUUCGGUAUUUGGUCUGUAAUAAUUUGUAACAAAUAUUAGGGUUGGCUAGUGAAAAGGGAUGGGGUAAUUAUGCAUGUUUUAGCUAUUAGAAGGGUAGAGAACAUGCCUAUAGGAUCUGUUCUGUUUUAAUUCUAGUUCUGCAUGCUUUACUUUCACGCAAAUAGAGAACAUGCCUAUAGGAUCUAUUCUGUUUUAAUUCAAGUUCUGCAUGCUUUACUUUCACGCAAAUAGGGAACAUGCAUAUAGGAUCUGCUCCGUUUUAAUUCAACUUCUGCAUGCUUUACUUUCACACAAAUAGAGAUCAUGCCCAUAGGAUUAAAAUUCAUUUUAAUAGAAAUCAUGCCUACAGGAAUUUCGCUUUAAUCAAAUAAAUCCUGCCUACUUCACUGCAUGCUCAAUUAGAUACCAUGCUUAUAGGAUCAAAAUCAGUCGUUAACACUUAGAUACCAUGCAAAUAGGAAUUGAAAUCAGCUAUAAUAGAGAUCAUGCCUAUAGUAUCUAAAUCAGUCUAGUUAAAAUCAGUUUGACUCAUGCCUGUCAUGAAUCAGUUUAAGCAACUUACUCCUUUUAUUAAUACGGUUUAGAAAGCAUGCCUAUAGGAUCCAAAUCGCCCGUUUAAAAAAAAUCAACCACUGUUCUGUUGCCUUCUUAAUUAGUAAUAGAUAUCAUGCUUAUAGGACAUCACCAAUACACACUUAGGCAAGUCUUAGGUAAUUGCUUAAUAAAACUCGAUUCGCCUUUGUUAAUUAGCAACUGCAACAACCAGCAGGCAGGCCUGAUUCAGACCUCUUAUCUGAGUUAUGUAAUAAAUAUGGUAUGCUUCAACAAUUAAAACAUCCUGCCUUGGUACUUUAAAUUCUGACCCUAAUUGUGUUUAAGCCAUGCCAUUUAUGUGCAUUGUCUGCGGAGGUAUAUAUGGGCCUCUUAUAUGUUUAUAUGUUUCCCUUAAUAUGCAAUCCUAUAUGUUUUGUAUGUCGCCUUAGCCUUUUUACCUUUAAAACCCAAGAGUCAGCCUAAAACCCUCCCUCUUAUAGGAAUAGUAGUCCUAAAUUCCUCCGGGACUGAUAGGAAUGGGACGGGUAAUAGCAUGCAAUAGAGGUUGAGACCAAUCCGCGCUUUAAUACCUUAAGAGGUGGGAAAGGUAGAUAUGGAUAUGAUGACUGGUGCACUAUGUGCACUAAUACCAUGUGUAUCCCCUCUUCUGAGGAGUGUCAUACCCGGUAUCACAUUGAUGUGAUCCAUAUUUCAAAUAAACCUAGGACCCCCCUCCUCCCUUUUAUAUUCUCAAAUGUUUGUAGAGCUGUAAUUCCUUUUUAAAAUUCGCCUUUUAAUAAUUGUUUUCAAACUCUUAUAUGUUCAAACUUAAAUCCCCUACUAUUUGUGCCUAUAUUUGUCUAUCUACUAAUUGUACAAAGUUUACAAAAACUGUCUGGCCGAGAACCACACUAGUGGAUCCUAAGGGGUGCCUAACACCUUCCGCUUAGGAGAAUUUCAAGCCCUUACCCUGUCUCUUGUUAUCAAACAAACUUAAAAAUGAACCUUAUAGGUGUCCUAAUGCACCUUAAAUCAUUAGGUGGCGACUCUCCAAAUGCAAAUCCAAUUCCCGAAAGGAAUGAGUUGUCCUACCCCAAGAAUGUCAUAAACCCGAUUUUCCGAUGCAAAGAAGGAAAAGGGGGGCGCGACAAAUGACAGAUUGUUAGGCUAACGCAGAAUGGCAGAUUGUUUACUCGUUACUCGUUAGUGGUUGUUUCUUCUUUCUUAAUGCUUAGGCUCUUAGCGCUUAUCAGUACAUGAAACAUGAAUAUGUAUUAAACUGUACCGAACCAAAAUAAGAAAUACCGAACCGUACCGAAAUAUUUUGGUACGGUAUUUGGUAUACACAAUUGUCACACUUUCUUUUUACACACCCGAGGGGGUAUAAGGGAGUUUUUCCAAUUUAAGUGAUAUUAUUCGAAGUGGAUUAUUUAAUUUAUCAGAGUCGCCACUUGGAAUAGUUUAUUUGGUGUCCCAAGUCACCAGUUUAUUUUUCAAAUCCCAAAUCGAGGAAAUUCGACUAUCCUUUUGAAGUCUACGAACCAGAAAUUCUAAGUAAGGAAUUCUGUUAACCCGGGAGAAAGUGUUAGGCAUUCUCGGGUUCCGUGGUUCUAGCACGACCGCUUAAACUAUUACAAUUGGCCUAUUAUCUGAUUUAUUACAUGUUUUAGCCAUUGGUGCAUUUUUAACUUACUAACCACUUUUAAUUAUUUUAGGAAGAUUCAACGUUAUUUAAACAUGCCUUGAACCACGCCACAUGAAAUGCACCCGCUGACCACGAUACAUUUUAUUUAACGUUGUUGAGAAUUGGAGUUGGGUCACAUGAAAUGCACACCCGAAUUUAAUAAAUAAAAGAAAAUCAAUUUAUAGAACGCGCCUAAAGCAACUAUGAAAGUCCAAAUUAAUACAAAAUUUGCGAGGGCCAUGGAAAAUUUAAUUGAUGGCACACCCCGAUUUUAAGAAUAAUAACUCUUGAAUUGAAUUUGUGAGGGCCAUAUAUUAUAGGUUUUAUUUGGCAUGGCACACCUCGAAUUAUUCUUAAGAGCUGACUAGUUUUAUGAGGGUCAUUGGCUUAGGGAUUUUAUUUGGCAUGGCACACCUCAUACCUUUUUCUAUAAGAUUUGUAUUUUUUUACUAAAAGUAAACUAAGGAUGCUCCUAUUUAGCUAGUGAUGCAAAUAACAUAAAAGCCUAGAGGUCUCAAUUCCCUUUAUAUCCAAAUUGAAAAGAAUUAUCAUCAAACUCACUUCUUCACAUUACACAAAUAUGGAAUACGGAAUAUGGAGGCAAAAGUAAACGUCUAAAUCGGAAGACCAGCUCGCAGAAUAAAAACAUAAAGUUCUAAAAGCUAAUGAAUCACCAACUCACAUGUAAUUAAACAAAUGGUUAAAAUUCAAACAUAUAGAACCAAAACCGUAAUUUGUAUAGCACACAAUAUAAUUCUUUUUCGUUGAUAAGUAUAUAGCAUGCCAUAUUAGUAUCACGCAGUAUGAUAUCUUUGCAGAUUAAAAAGACAUUGACAACAUGUACAAAGAAAAGUAUGAAAUGGAAGAAAUUAGUAUUCGAACCUUCAUAGCAGGCAUCGGUUCAAUUGUUGACCAUUUAUAACACUGAUUGACGAUAACCUUGAGUGUAGAAUUACAGCAAAGUGUCAAACAAAAGCCAAAGAAGAAAUGCGAAGGGUUCAGCGAAGUUGUAACGCAGCAGCAACAAACAGCCCUUUUAAAUCUCAAUUUAACCGUAAAAAUCAACUCGCCCAUUUCGACAUUCCCAGCCUCUGGUAGCAACAACCAUUUCCCUUUUGCUGGUCCAAUUUCUAUCUUUUUAUUUUAGGUCUUAGGGUGUAGGUCUGUGAAUAGUGAAGAAGAGUGAGGAAGAAACAGAGAGGGGAGGGGUGUUGUUGAAGAAGCAGGCGUCGUUUCCUAAGGGGUAAGGGAUUUUUUGAUCUCCUCCCUAUAAUGUAGCCUAAAAUCUUCUCUAUAUAGAUCUAAG
This 10824-nucleotide long non-coding RNA is filed under the name Nicotiana tabacum (common tobacco). RNAcentral's name for it is "long non-coding RNA (NTAB_LNC012605)". The stretch from base 1512 to 1582 matches the Rfam family "MIR6151 microRNA precursor family". Lineage: Eukaryota; Viridiplantae; Streptophyta; Magnoliopsida; Solanales; Solanaceae. The record is from RNAcentral.